This 694-nucleotide long non-coding RNA is filed under the name Rhinopithecus bieti (black snub-nosed monkey). Its description in RNAcentral is "lncRNA (ENSRBIG00000046173.1)". The record is from RNAcentral. Lineage: Eukaryota; Metazoa; Chordata; Mammalia; Primates; Cercopithecidae.
AUGGAGGACCGGGAAGAACUUAAUGAUGCGAUUCCUUCCGUGAUCUCAGUGACUGUAUCAGGCAAAAACGAGAAGGGCAAAAUACCGUCCAAAUGUAAACAAGGAGCAGCCACACCAGCAGCAGCAGAAUGCCGCGGUAGUUCGGCAGGCCCUGGCCCCAUGGACAAAGAGAAACUCGACAGUGGCAGUGGCCACGAACUCAGAAAGCCUGAGGACACUCAGCAGCUCCUCUGGCUCAUCACUUUCACAUUGGUGCAACUACAGGAGCUGAAGAACAUUUUCCAACUUGUUCCAUACCCGGACGUGUUAGGAUCAGAUUCAUCAUUGGACUCCUGGACCUAUCACUGUGGACCUCAAACGUGCACCUUUUAAGCCCUUUCCUUCACUCCUGACUGAUGGAUUUGGGAUCCACUGCUAAGUCAGACUUUUGAACCAUUGUUCCAGGCAAACUUCUGUUAAAGCUGGUAAGGACUGAUUUGAUUCUUAAGAUUCUGAGUAUACUCUCUAAAGCAGGUUAGAGUACCAGGCUUCUUUUGAAAGGUGUCUCCUAGGCUGGACGGUCUCCUUCCUGGAUCUCUGUCUUGAGUGGGGAUUAUUCUCUGGCUCCCUGGGCUGGAAGUUUUUCUUUCUGGCUUUCUAUUUUGAGUGGGAAUUAUUCAUUGAUUCUUUGGGCUGGAAAUUUUUUUUUUUUUUU